This is a long non-coding RNA of Nanorana parkeri, 116 nucleotides long. RefSeq lists it as uncharacterized. The record is from RefSeq and is a predicted model, not a curated record. The transcript is spliced from 3 exons. Lineage: Eukaryota; Metazoa; Chordata; Amphibia; Anura; Dicroglossidae.
CAGAGACUGAUGUGACUAGCUCAGUGUUCUCUGUACAGCACUAUGGUAUAUGUCAGAGCUAUAUAAUUGUAUAAAUAUAAUAGUGUGUAACUGUGGGAGGGCAUUACAGUGUCAGC